AUUGAACGCUGGCGGCAGGCCUAACACAUGCAAGUCGGACGGUAGCACAGAGGAGCUUGCUCUUCGGGUGACGAGUGGCGGACGGGUGAGUAAUGUCUGGGAAACUGCCCGAUGGAGGGGGAUAACUACUGGAAACGGUAGCUAAUACCGCAUAACGUCGCAAGACCAAAGUGGGGGACCUUCGGGCCUCACACCAUCGGAUGUGCCCAGAUGGGAUUAGCUGGUAGGCGGGGUAACGGCCCACCUAGGCGACGAUCCCUAGCUGGGCUGAGAGGAUGACAAGCCACACUGGAACGGAGACACGGUCCAGACUCCUACGGGAGGCAGCAGUGAGGAAUAUUGCACAAUGGGCGCAAGCCUGAUGCAGCCAUGCCGCGUGUAUGAAGAAGGCCUUCGGGUUGUAAAGUACUUUCAGCGGGGAGGAAGGUGCUGAGGUUAAUAAGCUCAGCAAUUGACGUUACCCGCAGAAGAAGCACCGGCUAACUCCGUGCCAGCCGCCGCCGUAA
This 506-nucleotide ribosomal RNA is filed under the name uncultured bacterium. Its description in RNAcentral is "partial 16S ribosomal RNA". It matches the Rfam family "Bacterial small subunit ribosomal RNA", at positions 29 to 523 of the family's 1533-position model. The record is from RNAcentral.